RNAcentral lists this ribosomal RNA (279 nucleotides) under uncultured bacterium. RNAcentral's name for it is "partial 16S ribosomal RNA". It matches the Rfam family "Bacterial small subunit ribosomal RNA", at positions 80 to 354 of the family's 1533-position model. The record is from RNAcentral.
UACUCCCGCCGGCGACCGGCGCACGGGGUGAGUAACACGUAUGAAACCUGCCCGUAGCAGGGGGAUAAGCGGAAGAAAUUCCGUCUAAUACCGCGUAACAACCCGAGGAGGCAUCUCCUCGGGUUUAAAGGAAGCGAUUCCGGCUACGGAUGGUCAUGCGUCGCAUUAGCUAGUUGGCGGGGUAACGGCCCACCAAGGCGACGAUGCGUAGGGGUUCUGAGGGGAAGGUCCCCCACACUGGUACUGAGACACGGACCAGACUCCUACGGAAGGCAGCAG